This is a long non-coding RNA of Equus quagga, 7252 nucleotides long. RefSeq lists it as uncharacterized. Lineage: Eukaryota; Metazoa; Chordata; Mammalia; Perissodactyla; Equidae. The record is from RefSeq and is a predicted model, not a curated record. The transcript is spliced from 3 exons.
CCCCCACCCCCCAGGGCUCUCACCCAGCUCAAGUGGACUCCAACUGCCCUUGACCACAUUGUCUCUGCUGGUCCAAGCAACUCUGUCUUGCCACCUCCAGACUGAGGAGCAGCCCUUUCCUGCUGCCUCCAGCAAAUUUUUAUUAUGUGCGGAAAGAGGAAGGCCCCAAAGGACCUGAGCCUGCUAGAAAGCUGACUAAAGAGAGAAAUUGUGGUGUUCUCAAAUCCUCAGAGGACUUGUGCGUAUUUGAAGUGAAUAUUGUGGACGAAGCAUUUGAGCGCCUGGAGAUUUUGGAGAGAAUUCCCUCAUUUACAGAACUAUCUCCAGAGAGGGGAUUCCCUCACCUCCCUCCAACUGCUGUCUUUUUCCCUGUCAAGAAGUUCUCCAGUUUAAUUUGACAAACAUUUCCUGAGCAGGACACCACGCCCAGUUCUCUGAGGAAUUCAAAGUUAAACCUAGCUGUCCUCCUGAACCUUGACACUCUAGUGGCAGGGAGGCCAGACAUUUACUAACUAACUAUGUCAACUGGGGGAUCCUUUGAGCAAAAUUGAACCCAUUUGUACAAAUAUAAGUGAGCUCCCUAUUAUUUUGCCCUCAGUGGAGGUGACUCAAGCCUUCUUAAUGCUCUCUGGGGAAACGAUCAGCUGAGGCUGGGAAGCAACAAAGAUGGAAAAUUAUACGGGCCCCUCUUCGACAGGUACACUAGCCAGGCACUCCUAAGGCACUUUCUCCACAAACAGAAAUUCAGAGCUUUGAGGAUCUUGGUCUGGGAAGUACAGGAAGGAAAGGUGCCAGAAAGUAGGCUGGUCUGCCGUUAAAUGAGGGCAGCUGGUUCCAGUGUCCUGGCACCUUCGUCUCCCAGAGCACAUUUGACUCAUUCACUCAAACAAGUUCAUUUGCUGACAGGAAAGCAAAGAGCAAGGAGCCAUAAUUCACCACAUACCUCAUCCAAAAAUUCCAUUUAUUACCAAAAAGAAAUUCUGACUUUCCCUGCGGCCAACUCCUCUAUUCUGGCUCGGGCUCUGGGUUCUGUUGAGAGAGGAGCUGCCUUUACUUUGCCCAGCUGUUAUCACUAGGAUGGGUCUUUUCUGCACAUGGUAGUCAGGAUGCGAACCCCAGCUUCGAUCCGAUGCUUUGUCUAAGCAGCAGGGUAGAUUUCUCUGGAGGAUUACAGCUCAAACUGAAAGAUAUACGGUUUUUAAUUUUUUUCUUUAUUUCUUUUCAGGUGCUUUUUUUCCUACCAAGUGAUCAGUAGAGGAGGCAUUUAGGGGUAGACAGUAGAAACUGGCUGGAUCAACUGCUGUCACAUUUUAAGUGAGUGAUCCAGUUGAUUUUUUUACAAAAACAUGUUAAGACAAACAGGUGGAGGGAGGAUUAAUCAUUGAUAGCCAGUGAAAAUGGCUGACUUAUCUCCAGGGUGGUGAGAAAGUUCAGCUUCAGGACCUUGAACUGUGCAUCCACUGACCAGGUGAGGGGAGCGUGCUGCACGUCUCAGGAUGGGCUGGACAUUUUGUUCACAGAAAAAUAUCAGAGGGCAUUUGCUUCUCUGUAAACGGUUAAGAACUCCCCGCUCAUUACCUUCUUCCUGCCACGCCAGGAGGCAAAUCAAUCAAAUGAAUCCGGGAGCCUUUGUGGGCAGCACAGACUGACCAUCCUCUUCCUCUUCUUUUUCUGCCUUAACCCCUGUCCCCAAAGAAGCUGUUGUCCCCUCCAGAGACGCCUGUUUCUGCAAAUGGUUAACGAGCUCUCUCUUGACCAGAUGGUAAACGCUUCUCCCACCCUCCCAUCAACGCUUUGGCAGGGCCAAACCGCUCUAGUAGCUAGGAAACAUUCUUGCUGUCAGAUUUGAUCCAUCCUGCCAGGAGUUAAAUUUUGUUAACGGUGCACAGGAGAGGCAGAGGCACCACCAAAUAGUGGGGGGGACUAUUGGGAAAAAGCUCAUUUCCCCUUCAUCCUGGUCUGUACUCCAGAGGCAAAAAGGGGCUGUCUGAGGAGAGGUGGAAAGUGUGAGUCGAGCUAAGGAUUCAGCCCCAACUGCCAUCCCUCCCAGCUUCAACUCAUGGACUCUUUGGAAGAAUUGGGACCAACUGAAGAAGGAGGGGAGGGAACUAAGUCAUCAACGGCUCAGCCAUAGCUCAACCUGGUGGGGAGUGGAGUGAGGUGGGGACACGGGUGGGGGGGCGGGUAGGAAGUGGGUGUGGAGGAGGAAAGAGCAUCUUGGUUUUCCUCAGAAGCCUCUCCAAAACACCCUCAAGCCUCCAGCAGGCAGCCCAGGAGACUCCCCCCUCCCCACUGCCAUGGCUAGGAUUUAAAAGGAAAAACAAAAGAUUAAAUAGGAAGAUCAAAGAGCUGUGUGACCUUGGCCAAGUCACUGGAGUGCUCUGGGUUUUACUUUUGUUAAUGGCAAAAUAAGACUUGGUGACCCUCAUCCUCCUUUCAGUUUUAGCAUUCUCUGAGUCUUUGGUGCUCCUUUGAAAGUAGCUCCAAGGAGGUGGGGUCUGACUGUUGAUUCCCUGACAGAAGUACAGUAAAUGAUUCAUCAUUGCCAGAAGGAAAAGAUAAAUGUGCUCGUAUUUUUUUAAUCAAAACAUUUUCAAAAGUAAUAUAUUCACCUAGUUAAAAAAAUUCAAAGAAUUUGGAAGAGUAUUCCGUGAAGCCAAUUCUUCCUGCCAUCUGAGGGUACCUUCCAAACACCGGUGCUGCCAGAACCCAGCGCAACCUGAGGUGCCCUGGGAGUCAGAGAGGCCCCCACAGUCCUCGAGUGGAAGUCAGCUCCCUAGGUUGAGCCUGGCACCCAGGCAAGACCCAGAUUGGGGGAGGGGGUCAUCUCUUACACCCUCUUCUCUUCCUCCUUGUUUUUUUCUCCCUCAGCUCUGCCCUGUAAUUCUUUAAUCAACUCUUUCUUAAAUAGCUGCGGAAUUUUCAUCCCAACCAAAACACCCAUGCUGUGCAGUCGGUUAUUAGUCCUUCCCUCUUCUGGAGCCCAGCUAGGGGACAUAACUAGGAAAUUAGUAGUCUUGGACCCUCUUAACCCAAACCUUACCCCCUCUGAGAGUUCCCAAAUGAGGACUGUGAUGCAGAGAAAGAGGAUGAAGUGAGGCCUGGAAUUAUGAAAACAAACAGUGGGAUUUGCACUCCCCCACCGCCUCACUGGCCUGGAGAGGGCAAAGGAACUAUUCUGAGCUAUGAAAACACAACAGACCUCUGCUAGGAAGUAAACAGCCGUCUGUCCCGCCAACGCCUGUCUCCCUGGACAUGAGUCGUGACAAUGUCUGAUCACCAGCCAGGGGGUGGGAGAGAGAGGGAGAAGGCAAGGAGAGUCUAGCAUGCCUCUCUCUUUUAGCAUGGAAAGGAAAGGCGGUGUUUGCUUUAUUUUUAAGAUUUUAAACAUUUUCUUCACUUUAGUAGGUUUGAAAUGGAAGGAAGGCAGCACUAGGGUCACGUAAGUCCAGGAGAUCUCUCCAACUCUGAAUUCCAGAAAGCAGGAUACCUGUCGCCCCCUCCUCCAUCCUCUGCAACUUCAGCCUCCUCUGCUUUACUGGGAAGUCGUGGUGACCUUCUCACUGUCAAAUCUGCUGGUUGGCCUUUUCUCAUCCUUCUUCUUCCUUGAUCUUUGGCCACAUCUGACACUUUUGACAGACAACUGCUUUGAAACACCCCCCCUUGCUGUGUUCAAUGUCGCUAACUGUCUUCUCCUUUCUCCUCUUCCUCCUCCCGCAGUGAUGGGUCCGUGAUGGCGGACCCCGCUUGAACACCACCUGGACGUCCCGUAUGUUUCUCAAAUUCCUUCCACACCUGUUCUUCCUCUAGAUUUCCCUGCUUUGUAAAUGCAUCUCCUCCCUCUCUGCCAUCCUAGAGGCACUGAGCCUGGCAACCUUCGCGUCAUCCUUGACGCCUCCUCACGCGCCAUUUGCAGUCAUUCAUCAGGUUCUGAGCAUGUAUUUUCUACUCUUGUGGCCUCUCCUCAAUCCCUCUGCCUAGGCCUGCUAGUCCUUUCAUUAUUUAGUGACCUCCUACUCCCCUUUUGGCUCCCCUGCCCAAACCAGCCUACAGACUACUGUCAAAGGAGGCUUCUUACAACACAGUUCUUUUCACUUGUCAUCUGAAAAAUACCCAGGCUCCCCAUUGCCUACAGAAUGAAGUUCAAAUUCAAGCUCAUCCACAAUUGGACCCCAGGUUAUCUUUCCAGCCUUAUGUCUUGCAGUCCCCUUCGUGGACCUCUUACUCCAGAUAUAUAUUAGAUGGGUUUGCAUUUCCCAGACAUGACUUGUUUUUUCUAAAUUUGCUUUUCUCUCCACUUGGAAUAUCAUUUUCUCCAUCUCCACAUGUCCAGAUUCUAACCAUAUUCAAGGCCAAGCUAAUAUAGUCUUCCCCACCCACUGAAGCCCAGCCCUUGUCAGCUGUAAAGAAUCACUUUAACCUGAACUCUUCUAGAACUUAACUGUUCCUUUCUUGGAGCACUUGGCAUGUUCCAGCGUUGCAUUACAGUUGUUUUACACGUAUGUCUUAACCUUUUUUCUGCUAUCCUGAGCCUGAGGGCCAAGAAAACAUCCCUUCCUGCCUCCAGAAAUGAGCUCUGCUUGCAUGUCUGGUGCCCAGUGUGGUUUGUAUAGCUGUGAUGGUCCCUCCCAUCCCUGACACACAUCCCUUUGCAUUGUUUGCCUCUCUUCCCAUCAAGAUGUGAAAUUUAUGUCUCCAUCCUUCGAAUCUGAGCUUGAUCUUGUGCCUUGGCCAAUGGGACAUUAGCAAAUAUGAUGCAAGAAGAGGCUUGAAAAGCAUUUGUUCUCUAGGGCUCGUCCUCUUUAGGCUACAGUCAGAACCCUGGACCACAAAGGGGAGAAGUCCAGACCAACCUGCUGGAGACACGUUGCUGUAACACGUGACCUGACAGCCAGACCCACCUGCUGGACACGUGAGUGAGGCCAUCUUAGACCAUCCAGCCCCAGUCCAUCUGCCAGAUACCUGCAGCCAUGCUCCAGAUGUGGGGAGGAGCAAUGUUACAGAAGCUGCAGACAUCCACCCGGAGCCUGCAUGGAGCAAACACAGCCAACCAUCGACCAUAGGCCAAGUGUCAGACUGGGGACACCAGGCAGGUGCCACUAAGAGGCCAGGCCAGAGAGCUCACACCGAUACUGUGUAUAUGUGCAUGUGGUGUUUGAGGUCCUUUCAGUGGGGUGUAUAGGUCCAAGGGUCCCCUAGGGCCCACAGUCCCAAAGUUCCCUGCCCCUUCCAGAACUUUGCUACUCUGACCCUUUGGAUCUCUCUGGGCUGCAGUCCUCAGGGUCUGGUUGCUUCUUUCCUGUGGCUGGAAGGAUAUAUUCCCAGGAUAGCCUUCUGACAGGGCUGCCUUAACUCUUUUCCUGAGAGUUCCCUGUGCACCAUUCCCUUGGGUGGCUCGAGCUGUGCCCUCUGACACCAGUGGGGAGCCCCAUCACAUGCUCAUUGCUCAGCAGGUGAGCCGCAACAGCAGAGCCCCCAACACAGACUUCAGCCCGGGAGACAGGUCCCCUCUCCCCAUCCCUGCAAGUGGAGAAGCAGAGGUGGAACAGCCCAGAGAAGCAUCCUUGGCUCUCCCACAGUGUUUGUUUUGGGGGCAAGAUGACAGCAUUUACACCCAUCGUGGUCCAAAUUUCUUUGAACAAGAAAACACAAGGAAAUCAAAACAUGAUAUUUAUCUGGGCUGAGAGGGUAAAGAGACACAAAUUCACUGAGCCUUAAAACAAAAUGGAAAGAAAUCAGCUCUGCCUUAACCCCUUCCCCAUCUGGGCACUUUCCACCAUAUCCUGCUGAUAUUCUGGAAUCAAGAAUUUGGCUCCCACGGCCUUUAGUCUUGGUAUGAAGGUCCCUUUGCCAGAACUUAGUUCCUUUCCAGCUCACCUGGUUGAGACUGGGGGUAAGAGCAGUUCACAAGGGAACCACAGGACUUACGCAGUGUCUGAGCCCCGGGUCUGCCAUUUCUCUCUGGUCAAGCUAAGCUGGACCCAAAUCUCUGUGCCCUGAACUCCUCUCCUGCCAGGCCUGCCCAGUCAGGGCCCUCCCCUAGGCCUCUGUUGGUGGCCUGGGCUUCCCACUGAGGACAAAUCCCCCUCUCUUUCUGACUUUGGAGCCCCCUCUUCCAGAAAAGACGCUGACAGAAGUGGGAAAGCCACAGAAGCAGAAGUGUAGACCCUGCCUAUCAGAUGGGUUUCCCUGGCCUGGAGGCUCCUGAGGCAGCUUGGUCUUUAAGCCCUACCUCCUCCCCACCUUAUGCUGGCCCCGCACUCCUUUCUGGAAAAUAUGCCAGUUCUUCUUUAUGCCCGUCCAAAGUCCACACCUCAGGAAGGGCAGCAAGGAUUUGAAGCCUUGGAGGCCAAUGCCCACCAGGAGGCCCUUGGCUCAUACACGUGCCCACCCCUGAUGGAGCAGCUCCUGACGUGGUUCCCGUAGCUCCUAAGGCUUUUUGGUCCCUACCCUUGAUGACAUUCUGAUCACCCAUGCUGGCUGCUGCAGAGUAAUGGAGGCCACUGUCACCCAUGGCCGUGAGAACAGAUGACUCUUCAACGUUUCCCCUACAAACUCCCCUGACCUGCUGCUGUCACUUGACCAUCCCACCCCCUCUCAAAAGCGUACUCCACACGGUCUAUUCUAUGUAAAUGGCGAGAACUCGGAGGGAGAUUAUUUGGCAGUGCACACAGAUGACAAGAUGUCAGCAGGAACGUUUUUGUUCUCAUAGUGAAAGGUAGAGAGACAAGAUGAAGAAAUCUGUCCAGAGACAUAUGUCUCCCAUAAGGACACAACCAGGGAUUGUCCCUCUCGCCAACAAGACAGCCCCCUGCAUGUCCAAGGCUUCCCCAGCCCGGGGACAGAGGAGGACACCAGAAUUGAGCGAUGUGGGGGCAUGGAUUACAGGACCUGAGGUAGAAGGGACAUCCCCCCAGGACCUCAGAGGGAAAUGCCAGGGAGUAGAAGCUGAAGUAGCAAGAGGAGGGGAAGGAGGAGGAGGAAGGAGAAGGAAUGUGCCAGGGUGAGAAAUGAGAAAUGAAGACAGAGAAGCAGCUUCCCAAGAUCGGGGCACAGGCCUGGUGGGGACCUGCCUGGGGCUUGAGAGAACAGCUGGUCUUUAGAGGCCUCAUCUUCGUAUUCAAGACCCGGGGCAGAGGAGGAGCGGGGACCCUAAGAAAGCUUCUGAAUGGACUUAAUACGACUGAACUGUACACUUAAAAAAUGGUCAAAUUGUAAAUUUUGUUAUGUGUGUUUUAUCACAAUAAACAAG